This 253-nucleotide ribosomal RNA is filed under the name uncultured bacterium. RNAcentral describes it as "partial 16S ribosomal RNA". It matches the Rfam family "Bacterial small subunit ribosomal RNA", at positions 524 to 776 of the family's 1533-position model. The record is from RNAcentral.
UACAGAGGGGGCAAGCGUUGUUCGGAAUUACUGGGCGUAAAGGGCGCGUAGGCGGCCCGCUAAGUCGAACGUGAAAUCCCCCGGCUUAACCCGGGAACUGCGUCUGAUACUGGAUGGCUUGAAUUCGGGAGAGGGAUGCAGAAUUCCAGGUGUAGCGGUGAAAUGCGUAGAUAUCUGGAGGAAUACCGGUGGCGAAGGCGGCAUCCUGGACCGACAUUGACGCUGAGGAGCGAAAGCUAGGGGAGCAAACGGG